CAUAAACUGUAUUUACUUUGUGGGUCUUUUUUGCUGCUUCAGCCAGUUAGCAUCUGUUGCAGUGGACAUUCAGGGGUUGAUAUCUGCUAUUACCAUCUAUGGAAUCUAUACCUUGCAUCUGGGCCAUUUUUUUUUCUUGGUGUUUGGUGUGCUUGGUGUUUGGUGCAGUCUAACGUUUUUGUCUUGCAGCUCAUAUAGUAUUUUUACAUUUUAAUCCCUGGCUUUUUGGAAUAUUCCACUGUCUUGGUUUUUUUAACCUUGAUCUUUGUUUACUGGGGAAUAUUUAGGGAGAAACAGACUGUGGUUUGGUUUUUUCCUUCAUUCAUUUCUUCUGUAACAGAACCUGUCCAUGCCUGUAAUAUCCGCUGUUUAAGGUCUUUAGAUUAGACGUUGUAUAUUGUUGUAAUACAUUUUUUAAUUUAAAUUGUGUUGCGAGAUGUACGUUUUGAAUUGUUUGCAGUAUAUUUAGUUAUUUAUUGCUGUCUGCUGGGUUUUAGCAUUACAUUUUUUGCAUUGCAAUUAUUUGAAAUACUUGCCCCCUUUGGAUACUGGGACAAUUCCUGCAAAUGAGUAACAGUUUUGAAAGAGCAGGGUUUGGUGUUGCAGACACAGGAAGAGAACAGCACUCACACGUGGGAGGCUGGCGUUCUGGCACCAUGUGGGCCACAGGUGAAGAGACACGGAAGGGCAUCGAACCCGAGAGCAGCGCACCUGAAACGGAGAAAAGGCAGCCUCAUUAGCCUGCUGUUCAGAAGGAGCGAGACAGCAGAGUAAACUGCUCCCAUGCAGGUUAUUAACCGUGCCACUGGGAUAUAGCUCUGGAGUUCUGGGUCUAUAAACACAAAUCCAGAGAGCUCAGGUAGACGAACCCUCCCAUGGUCAGCACCAUCUGGACCACCAAGACGGCUGAAAAGAACCAGACAGGCGGGCUGGUGCGGCCCGACGCCGCAUGGUGCAUGCCCGUCCGGGGUGGGACCGGCGGUGGAGGCAGGCUGGUGUGGUAGGUGUUAAUCAUGGUGGCAAGAGCGAGAGCAAGAGAGCGAAAGAGAUAGUCGAGAUAGCGGGGAGCAGUGGCUUCCUGAGCACGUCGCGCACUUCUGAAGAGCUUCGCUCGCUCACUCACACGAGCAGCAGCGAUUGCAGAGGGAGGGGUAAGUUCUCAGGUGUGUGGGCCCUCCGUUCCUUCUCCACUUUAGCGUCAGCUUAGGCCGUCACGUGUCCCCGUGCCUGUCUCAGAGACUUUCCGUAGCUCGUCACGGGAUUCCUGACGGCGCCACCUUCUCCAAAUGCAGGGUCUGGGGCGCCUCAGGUUGCUGAUGCUGAAGUCGGGCCCUGUCGAGGGGAGGGGGGGGGGGUAGAUUGCCAGAGAAAGGGGGCUCCAUCUGAUCAAGCAAAUAAUACAGGAGCCUAGUGAUACAAAAUCCAGAAUCUACAACCCAGAGACAAAUCCAUGAUCUAGAACCCAGGGUCCAUCUGACAGUCUGUUGAUCUGCUAGUUCACCCGUAUGGAAAAGUGCCAUGGGAUUCCAACUGGACGUCAUUGGAUAUCAAUGGGAGUUCAUGGGUCACUAUGAGAAUCCCAUGUAUACUCAUGGAGCUAUCAUGAGACAUCAUAGGGUGCCCAUAACUACCCAUGAGAUCUGCCAUGAGUACAAUUUCUGUAACACUAAUUUACAAAGAAUUCAAUUGUAUGAUUGUGUGUUGAAUAUUUAAAAGCUCUUUGUUGGUAAAAAAAAAUUAUAUUAUUGUUUGUACUAGAUGUUCUUUUUCUGAUCCAAUAAUGGCAACAUAAAAUAGAUGCCAUGAAAAUCUUCACAUUCCACAUUCUCUUGAAACUGCAAGAGUGAGAAACAGAAGUUACAGAAUAGUGCUCAUUUAUUAUGUUUAGAUUCUUUAAGAGUGAAUGCUGUUGAUACCAUUAGUUUGCUAUUUCAUUUUAUGAAGUGUCUAUUCACAAACAUAAAGAGAAUAUAUAUAUUUUAUUCAGGUUUUUAAGUUUAAAUGUUGGUCUUUUUUGUUUAAUAAACAUAUAAAGUGCUAGUGGUUGCAGACAAAUUGUUUGGGGUUAUUAUGGUAUGUAUUAAGCAUUGCAAUAUGAACUUAUAUCAGUCUAACUUGUAUCAUUUCCGUCUGUUCCUAUGUGGGGAUUAAAUGUGUGGAGUUAUUGGGCAUGGGCACAGAUCUAUUGGGUCCAGGUCCUUCGUGACGUAAUGGCCAAUAAGUGUUUUAGUCUCAUUGCAUAUCUACCAUACUGUAAGCUAAAAUAGUCUGAGCAAAACAGUCUCCCUCCUUCUCCAACCCGCUCUUUGUGUCAUUUUCUCCAUCCCUUUGUGGUGGUGCUAACUAGCUGGCUGGCUAGCUAGGCUACUUGUAUUACCCCUAGAGCUAGCUAUGGAGCUAUGGAUUACAUUUCGCUAUCGUUUUUUCGUUUAGUUUAUUUUUAAAUGAAGCCUCCGUCUGCUUUGCAUGACGAAUUGCAUGACGAAUUUCCCCCGUCUGUUACUUCCCUGGAUGUACAAACUUAGAGCAUGACGUCGAGGAUAACGUUAUGUGUGUUUUUUUCAGCUUCCUAAGAAUUCAUUCGGAAGAAAUGGGUGGCUUUAAAUGUUUUUUUUUUUUUUUUUGAACCUAUGGCUACUCUGGCUCGCCCUGACCAUGCCCAUACAAUCCUGAGGUUUUUCCAAUGCAGUUCUUAUGUUUGAUUUGAAAUUUUGAAAUGUAUGCUAUUAUAGUUAUUAACAUUUAUUUAAAUAAAUAUUUAGUGGAUGAGUAGUGGAUACCACCUUACGCGAUCAUUCAUUCGAAUUGAUGACAGAUGUGUAUUUUAACACUCAUUUAAAUUUGUAAUGUAAUAAACACGCAAAUGCCCUGGACAUAACUGGCGAGCACACGGGAAGAACGAAACACACCUACACAUUCAGCUUCCCCACAGUACACGCCCACCCCCACUGAUGACAGGUAAAAAUUCAUCAGAAUUCUAGCUGUUACCCGUGUUACUUACCGUUACUUACCGUGUCCCUACAUUUUUCAGUCAGAAUGCGUUGCGAAACUAAAAUGCAUUUGUGAGACUCUUAAAACUUCGCCGUACAGUACUUUGCACGGGGAAGUCACAGUAGCCUACUCCGCAGCAUUAUGGCCUGCCCCAAGAUAACAAUAUCGUUUCUGUUUUGAGUCAGAGGUGGGUUUCAUUUUGUAAGUGUAAUUUGAGGUGUGGAGGCAGCAAGGAGACUGUAGUUAAGAGUGAGACAAGUGAGACGAGAACAAUUGGCCCACAUCUGGGUGUAAAAAUGAUUCAUUGCACUUCCCGUUGACCUUUAUUUAAAAAAAGUAUAUAUGUGUAUUUGUGUGUAUUUUAUAUGUUUUUUUUUUUUAAUAAGACCAUUUGUACUUAGUGACACUUUAUUUACUGUUCUGAUUUUAUCUGGAUUCAAAGGAAACAUUUCUUAAAAUUUUUACAAAAGCAUUAUGUUAAAAAGUCAAACUUAAAGAAGUUUCUGUGAGAAAGACACUUAAAAAUGUGGAACACAGUACACUUUCGUUGCUGUGCUGCGGGUGAGAUAAAUUACAGCUACUAAGUGCUUUCGUCUUAUACGUCUCAACAUGUCUCAUCAAUGCGGAUGCCUAAUUGCUGAUUAACCUUCAUAUGUGAAACCCCAGAUACUUUCUUUCUGUCAGUGCAUGUGCACAACAACGCAGAUGUAAAUUCACUGUCUCUCACAUAAUACCACAACGCAGUUCUUUGUGAUUUUGAUAACACUGAGUUUCUGGCUAAUGCUAUAAUCGGCAUAAUGAGACAGGCAGUGAAUCACUGGCCUUCCAAAGAAUUUGAAAGAAGCAUCACACGUUGGAUGGGCCUUCUUGGCCAGCAACAAGUGUGUGUUUUAUCACAAUGCAGUGUCUGGUGGUAGCAGCAGUACUGAAGCACUGCAUUAAUUACUGUGUAAGCAGGACAAAUGUAUCACCCAUACUGAGUUCCAUUUAGCAGUUGUGGUUUGACCACUCUUUGCACUACUAAAGCUAUAGUGGUGUUUCCUUUCAGGAAACUACACAGAGGCCCAUAGUUUGCCAUCGAUGCAGUUUGAUAGAAUGCCUUUUUGGCCUGUAAUGGUAUUUAAAGGUCAAAAGAAGUGUUAACCACCAGUUGCCGUUUUGUUACUGUGAGAGUCUCAUCUUCAUCAAAUGCUCUGGCUUGAAAAAAUUUAAAUUCACCUAAAGUAUGUUAAAAGCUUGAAAAAGUGGAUACGUUACACAGUUACCUGUUUUAGAUUGAAUUUCUCUUAGUCAAAACUUUUAAUUUAGAACCAACCAUUACUCACUGUUGGCAAACACAGUGAUCUUGGUGGUGGUAAAACUUUGUAUUCAGCUAUAGGAACAGUUCUUUUCUUUAAAUCUCAGAAUGCAUCGCUGCUGCAAAACUCAUAUGAGGAUCAGAAUCCAUAGGACAAAAUAGGAAUUUUUAAUUUAGGAUGUGAAAACCAGAUUUCCCCAUCCUAAAAACCUUUCCCAAAAACUUUUUUAAAAAUGAAAAAAAUAACCCUCUAUACUUUACCUAAUGCAGCAACUAGAGAAGUCACACAUUCAACACGUGGUUCAAUGUGCUAUAAAAGUGGUCUCCAACUGUUCAAAGGGUCUCAUAUGAUGACUCAUAGAAGAGCACAGAAAGUGAUUGAUUUUAUCAAUUUAUCAACUCAUUUUGUCUUGUUUUUCUAUUUUGGUAAAUUGCCUUUUGGAAUUCAAUAUGAGAGAUAAAGGGCAACAAAGUGUAAUUAACUAUGUGUCCAACUAGUCUAUAUUUUAUUUUACUGAACGGGCCACAAAUCAUUGUUCUCUAGAACUGGUUAACUGAAAGAAUACAUAUAUAUACAUAUUAAUCAUUCUGCAGUGUGAAUCUCCUUGAAUAAGUGACUACUCUUCUCUUUAGACAACAUACAAAUUCAAGUCAAAUGAAAAUCCAGCAGAUGUAUGGAUCAGAUAUGGCCAUAUUCAGCCAAAACAUAUGCAACAAAGCUUUUCCCACCUAUGAGAAUAUAUUAAGUUCUUACAGCUCCUCGGAUGCACUAGUGUCCUGUAAUGAGCUGAAUCUUACACAGUAACUUCCCAAAGCUACACAAUUUAAUUUUAAAAAUCCUGAAAUGUCUAUCGUAGAUGUGAUUCUAACCAGCAGACCACAUAAUCUUUGCUUUGGAUACUGCCCCAUCUCUUGCAUAUGAUAUGACAGCUAUAAAGGCUCGCUUGCGUUUUAUCUGCAAAAGGAAUUACAAACAUUUCUCAGAACAAGCAUUCAUUCAUGAUUUAUUUUAAGUGGAAUUAGCUGCGUGGCUUCCAUUCCAGACCCAAAACAGUAUUGCAUAGCCUUGUUUA
This is a long non-coding RNA of Anguilla anguilla (European eel), 5361 nucleotides long. RefSeq lists it as uncharacterized. The record is from RefSeq and is a predicted model, not a curated record. The transcript has 2 exons. Lineage: Eukaryota; Metazoa; Chordata; Actinopteri; Anguilliformes; Anguillidae.